GUGGGGAAUAUUGGACAAUGGGCGAAAGCCUGAUCCAGCCAUGCCGCGUGUGUGAAGAAGGUCUUCGGAUUGUAAAGCACUUUAAGUUGGGAGGAAGGGCAGUAAGUUAAUACCUUGCUGUUUUGACGUUACCAACAGAAUAAGCACCGGCUAACUUCGUGCCAGCAGCCGCGGUAAUACGAAGGGUGCAAGCGUUAAUCGGAUUUACUGGGCGUAAAGCGCGCGUAGGUGGUUUUGUAAGUUGGAGGUGAAAUCCCCGGGCUCAACCUGGGAACUGCCUCCAAAACUGCAUGACUAGAGUACGGUAGAGGGUAGUGGAAUUUCCUGUGUAGCGGUGAAAUGCGUAGAUAUAGGAAGGAACACCAGUGGCGAAGGCGACUACCUGGACUGAUACUGACACUGAGGUGCGAAAGCGUGGGGAGCAAACAGGAUUAGAAACCCUGGUAGUCC
RNAcentral lists this ribosomal RNA (450 nucleotides) under uncultured bacterium. Its description in RNAcentral is "partial 16S ribosomal RNA". It matches the Rfam family "Bacterial small subunit ribosomal RNA", at positions 354 to 796 of the family's 1533-position model. The record is from RNAcentral.